GAGGGUGUAGCUCGGUGGUGGAGUGCGUGCUUAGCAUGCACGAGGUCCUGGGUUCAACCCCCAGCACCUCCA
Molecule: transfer RNA, 72 nt
Filed under: Camelus bactrianus (Bactrian camel)
Lineage: Eukaryota; Metazoa; Chordata; Mammalia; Artiodactyla; Camelidae
Also listed under: 1 other name
Rfam family: tRNA
About the family: Transfer RNA (tRNA) molecules are approximately 80 nucleotides in length. Their secondary structure includes four short double-helical elements and three loops (D, anti-codon, and T loops).
Source: Rfam by way of RNAcentral